GAAAUGCGAUACGUAAUGUGAAUUGCAGAAUCCCGUGAAUCAUCAAAUCUUCGAACGCAUAUUGCGCUCUUGGGUAUUCCUGAGAGCAUGCCUGUUUGAGUGUCAGUAUCAACCCUCAAACCACCAUGUGUGGUCUGGAUGUGGACCCUUCUCAGAUCUAAGUUGUCUGAGUGGUCUCAAAUGUAUAGGAGAAUUGACCUUUACUCUUGAAGGCGUGAUAAUGGAUUGCAUCUUUUGUUCGUCUUAAGGAGGGUGAUUUGGACAACUUCUCCCUAAUGGCCUCUUGUAGGCAAAAGAAAUGGUGAAAGCCUUUCUGAAACUUGACCUCAAAUCAAGCAAGACUACCCGCUGAACUUAA
Molecule: unclassified non-coding RNA, 358 nt
Filed under: uncultured fungus
Lineage: Eukaryota; Fungi
Description: sequence contains ITS1
Rfam family: 5.8S ribosomal RNA (bases 1-105)
Source: RNAcentral